RNAcentral lists this ribosomal RNA (518 nucleotides) under uncultured Glomus. Its description in RNAcentral is "SSU rRNA". It matches the Rfam family "Eukaryotic small subunit ribosomal RNA", at positions 569 to 1092 of the family's 1831-position model. The record is from RNAcentral. Lineage: Eukaryota; Fungi; Glomeromycota; Glomeromycetes; Glomerales; Glomeraceae.
AGCAGCCGCGGUAAUUCCAGCUCCAAUAGCGUAUAUUAAAGUUGUUGCAGUUAAAAGCUCGUAGUUGAAUUUCGGGAUCAAUACGUCGGUCGUGCUUCGGUACGUACUGGCGUCAUUGAUUUCUCCCUUCUGACGAACCAUGAUGUCAUUAAUUUGGUGUUAUGGGAAAUCAGGACUGUUACUUUGAAAAAAUUAGAGUGUUUAAAGCAGGCUCACGCUUGAAUACAUUAGCAUGGAAUAAUGAAAUAGGACGUUCGAUCCUAUUUUGUUGGUUUUAGGAUCAACGUAAUGAUUAAUAGGGAUAGUUGGGGGCAUUAGUAUUCAAUUGUCAGAGGUGAAAUUCUUGGAUUUAUUGAAGACUAACUACUGCGAAAGCAUUUGCCAAGGAUGUUUUCAUUAAUCAAGAACGAAAGUUAGGGGAUCGAAGACGAUCAGAUACCGUCGUAGUCUUAACCAUAAACUAUGCCGACUAGGGAUCGGAUGAUGUUAAUUUUUAAUGACUCAUUCGGCGCCUUAAC